UUUCGAAUUCCUUGAUAAAUGUCGACGUCUAUCCCCCUUCUGGGAAUGUCGAACUCAAUUUUCUGCGGAAUGUCGAUCCUGGCCUUCUGUUUUGAGGGUUUCGAAUUCCUUGAUAAAUGUCGACGUCUAUCCCCCUUCUGGGAAUGUCGAACUCAAUUUUCUGCGGAAUGUCGAUCCUGACCUUCUGUUUUGAAGGUUUCGAAUUCCUUGAUAAAUGUCG
This 220-nucleotide long non-coding RNA is filed under the name Zostera marina. Its description in RNAcentral is "long non-coding RNA (ZMAR_LNC002818)". Lineage: Eukaryota; Viridiplantae; Streptophyta; Magnoliopsida; Alismatales; Zosteraceae. The record is from RNAcentral.